Molecule: ribosomal RNA, 1909 nt
Filed under: human gut metagenome
Description: bacterial LSU rRNA
Rfam family: Bacterial large subunit ribosomal RNA
Source: RNAcentral
CGGGGUUAGGACUGCAACAUGUAACUUUAAUCUUUAACUGAAUGCUUUGGGAAGAGCAGCGAAACAGGGUGACAGCCCCGUAAGUGAAAGAGAUUGAGUGCUAGCAGUAUCCAGAGUACCAGCGGACACGUGAAACCCGCUGGGAAGAUGGGGGGACCAUCCUCCAAGCCUAAAUACUACUCAGUGACCGAUAGUGGAGCAGUACCGUGAGGGAAAGGUGAAAAGUACCCCGGGAGGGGAGUGAAAGAGAACCUGAAACCUUGUGCCUACAAGCACCGAGAGCACGUUAAAGUGUGAUCGGGUACUUUUUGUAGAACGGUCCGGCGAGUUAAUAUUUGCAGCGAGGUUAAGUAACUGGAGUUACGGAGCCGCAGCGAGAGCGAGUCUGAAUAGGGCGUAUGAAGUUGCAGGUAUUAGACCCGAAACCGGGUGACCUAUCCAUGAGCAGGCUGAAGCGGUGGUAAGACACCGUGGAGGGCCGCACCCACGUCUGUUGAAAAAGCCGGGGAUGACUUGUGGAUAGCGGAGAAAUUCCAAUCGAACUCGGAGAUAGCUGGUUCUCCCCGAAAUAGCUUUAGGGCUAGCGUUAUUUUAGAUUACCGGAGGUAAAGCACUGAAUGGUCUAGGGGCCGCGAGGUUACCAAAGCCUAUCAAACUCUGAAUGCCGGAUAAUUGAUGAAUAGCAGUCAGACUGUGUGAGAUAAGUCUCAUAGUCAAAAGGGAAACAGCCCAGAUCUACAGCUAAGGUCCCAAAUGAACACUAAGUGGAAAAUGAUGUGAAACUGCGAAGACAACCAGGAUGUUGGCUUAGAAGCAGCCACUCAUUCAAAGAGUGCGUAAUAGCUCACUGGUCGAGUGGUUUUGCGCAGAAAAUGUAACGGGGCUAAGUGUUCAACCGAAGCUUAGGCAUUGCAGUAAUGCAUUGGGUAGGGGAGCGUCGUAUGCGGGGCGAAGUCAGAGCGGAAGCACUGGUGGACUGCAUACGAGUGAGAAUGCCGGAAUAAGUAGCGAGAAUUAUGUGAGAAUCAUAAUGGCCGAAAAUCUAAGGUUUCCUGGGGAAGGUUCGUCCGCCCAGGGUUAGUCGGGAGCUAAGCUCAGGCCGAAAGGCGUAGGCGAUGCACAUACGGUAGAAAUUCCGUAACCACCGAACUUUAAGCUAGAGGGACGCUUUCUUUAAGGUUAUCCCGGGCGAUGGUUGCCCCGGGCGUAAGGGACCGAAAUUUAGUAGGGAAGUAACUGGCGAGAGAGACGAGAAAAGCUCUAGUGUAUACUAAGGUGCCCGUACCGCAAACCGACACAGGUAGAAGGGAUGAGUAUUCUAAGGCCAACGGGAGAAGGGUUGUUAAGGAACUCGGCAAAUUGGCCCCGUAACUUCGGGAUAAGGGGCGCCUGCGAGAGCAGGCCGCAGUGAAAAGGCCCAAGCGACUGUUUAGCAAAAACACAGCUCUCUGCUAAAUCGAAAGAUGACGUAUAGGGGGUGACGCCUGCCCGGUGCUGGAAGGUUAAGGGGAGUGCUUAGCGCAAGCGAAGGUGCGAACUUAAGCCCCAGUAAACGGCGGCCGUAACUAUAACGGUCCUAAGGUAGCGAAAUUCCUUGUCAGGUAAGUUCUGACCCGCACGAAUGGCGUAACGAUUUGGGCACUGUCUCAACAGCCCGCCCGGCGAAAUUGUAGUACCGGUGAAGAUGCCGGUUUCCCGCAACUAGACGGAAAGACCCCAUGGAGCUUCACUGUAGCUUGAUAUUGGACUUCGGUAUUCCAUGUACAGGAUAGGUGGGAGGCUAGGAAGCGAGCGCGCCAGCGUUCGUGGAGCCGUCCUUGGGAUACCACUCUUGGGAUAUUGGAGUUCUAACCUGCGACCAUGAAUCUGGUCGGGGGACAUUGUCAGGUGGGCAGUUUGACUGGGGCGG